CCCGAAGUACUCCGUUAUGAUGGUGAGGAGGUUCUGUGUGGAGCACAACCUUCGAAGAAGAAAUCUAGUUUCGCCGGCUCCCAUGGGAAACAAUAAAGCUGCCCAUUGUAGAAUGCGAGAGACUCGAUGGAACGUUUGAAACGUCUUUAUAUGUAUUAUUAAUAUUUAUUUUUAAACAACCUCUUGCCUACAGAGCAAGCGUCUCUAUCGAUUGGGCCACGGCCACGGUGACCACACUGUAGGAACUGGAUUUACUAAUAUAUAUCGAUAUGACGCUACAACUAACAACAAAUGAGAGGAGAACUCCUCAAAGCAGAUCUGUGCUAAACUGAUUUGGUCUGCUUGUCUUGUUCAGCGAUUGGGCGCAAACACUUCAAAUGCAUUGGCUGAGAGAAAAGAAGGGCAGAGAUUAUUAGCAUACUAGAGAGACGCCGUACUUUACGGCGUUGUGAUGUGCACAAAAGCGCCGUAUUUUACGCGCGGUUUGAUGUUCAAAACGGCGCUUUUUACACGCGGUCUUGAAAGGCUUAAUUGCGGCGUAUAAAGCGGCGCUUUUUUGCGCAUGACGGCGUAAAAUAAGGCGUUUUUCUACAUUUUACGGCGUUUUUUACGGCGUAAUGAAGGUGAUACGCGUCUAAAUGAUGCCGUUUUCUGGCGGGGAUGGCUUGCCAUAGGAUAGGAUCUGUGCACGAACUCCCUUGCACUACAGAUUACGAGCGUCAGUGUCGUACGCGAUGGAGGGUGGGUGACAUUCCUACAGUCUGUGAUGAUAGGCUAUAUUUCUACAAAUGACUUACUAUUACUAGCGAUUAACAUGACGAAACAACACGAACUAAGCUAACAUUAGACUAUAGCCAUACCAGAUAACGCCAUACCAGCUAACCCUAACUAUUUCUAUUAAACUCUGAUCCAUUUUGCAACAGGCAA
This is a long non-coding RNA of Gadus macrocephalus (Pacific cod), 927 nucleotides long. RefSeq lists it as uncharacterized. The record is from RefSeq and is a predicted model, not a curated record. Lineage: Eukaryota; Metazoa; Chordata; Actinopteri; Gadiformes; Gadidae. The transcript is spliced from 2 exons.